GUGCUCGAGGGAUGAACUGGUCCCUCAUAUCUAACAUAUCCAUCUGAUCACUUUGUCAGUUGCCUUUCCCAGUGGCAUGCUGAUCAUUGUAAGAUGGAAAAUGU
This 104-nucleotide small nucleolar RNA is filed under the name Gossypium hirsutum (cotton). RNAcentral's name for it is "Small nucleolar RNA snoR99". It matches the Rfam family "Small nucleolar RNA snoR99". The record is from Rfam by way of RNAcentral. Lineage: Eukaryota; Viridiplantae; Streptophyta; Magnoliopsida; Malvales; Malvaceae.